UUCAACUCAGUGGCGGACGGGUGAGUAACGCGUGAGUAACCUGCCUUUCAGAGGGGGAUAACGUUCUGAAAAGAACGCUAAUACCGCAUAAGAUUGUAGCUUCGCAUGGAGCAGCAAUCAAAGGAGCAAUCCGCUGAAAGAUGGACUCGCGUCCGAUUAGAUAGUUGGCGGGGUAACGGCCCACCAAGUCGACGAUCGGUAGCCGGACUGAGAGGUUGAUCGGCCACAUUGGGACUGAGACACGGCCCAGACUCCUACGGGAGGCAGCAGUGAGGGAUAUUGGGCAAUGGGGGAAACCCUGACCCAGCAACGCCGCGUGAGGGAUGACGGUUUUCGGAUUGUAAACCUCUGUCCUCUGUGAAGAUAGUGACGGUAGCAGAGGAGGAAGCUCCGGCUAACUACGUGCCAGCAGCCGCGGUAAUACGUAGGGAGCAAGCGUUGUCCGGAUUUACUGGGUGUAAAGGGUGCGUAGGCGGAUUGGCAAGUCAGAAGUGAAAUCCAUGGGCUUAACCCAUGAACUGCUUUUGAAACUGUUAGUCUUGAGUGAAGUAGAGGUAGGCGGAAUUCCCGGUGUAGCGGUGAAAUGCGUAGAGAUCGGGAGGAACACCAGUGGCGAAGGCGGCCUACUGGGCUUUAACUGACGCUGAGGCAC
Molecule: ribosomal RNA, 652 nt
Filed under: uncultured Lachnospiraceae bacterium
Lineage: Bacteria; Bacillati; Bacillota; Clostridia; Lachnospirales; Lachnospiraceae
Description: bacterial SSU rRNA
Rfam family: Bacterial small subunit ribosomal RNA
Source: RNAcentral